GACGAACGCUGGCGGCGUGCCUAACACAUGCAAGUCGAACGGGGUGGUUUCCUUCGGGAGAUCACUUAGUGGCGAACGGGUGAGUAACGCGUGAGGAACCUGCCUUUCAGAGGGGGACAACAGUUGGAAACGACUGCUAAUACCGCAUGAAGCAUUCGGGUCGCAUGGCCUGAAUGCCAAAGAUUUUAUCGCUGAAAGAUGGCCUCGCGUCUGAUUAGCUAGUUGGUGAGGUAACGGCCCACCAAGGCGACGAUCAGUAGCCCGGAUGAGAGGUUGACCGGCCACAUUGGGACUGAGAUACGGCCCAG
RNAcentral lists this ribosomal RNA (308 nucleotides) under uncultured bacterium. RNAcentral's name for it is "bacterial SSU rRNA". It matches the Rfam family "Bacterial small subunit ribosomal RNA", at positions 28 to 334 of the family's 1533-position model. The record is from RNAcentral.